This 508-nucleotide ribosomal RNA is filed under the name uncultured bacterium. RNAcentral describes it as "bacterial SSU rRNA". It matches the Rfam family "Bacterial small subunit ribosomal RNA", at positions 26 to 518 of the family's 1533-position model. The record is from RNAcentral.
AGAACGAACGCUGGCGGCGCGUCUUAAGCAUGCAAGUCGAGCGGUAAGAUAGAAGCUUGCUUUAUCCUAGAGCGGCGGACUGGUGAGUAACGCGUGGGUGACGUACCUCUGUGACGGGGACAGCUCCUAGAAAUAGGAGAUAAUACCGGAUAAUCUCUUGUGUGUCAUAGGCAUAAGAGGAAAGGAUCUUUUGAUUCGCACAGAGAGCGGCCCGCGUACUAUUAGCUAGUUGGUGAGGUAACGGCCCACCAAGGCGACGAUAGUUACCCGGCCUAAGAGGGUGAUCGGGCACAUUGGGACUGAGAUACGGCCCAGACUCCUACGGGAGGCAGCAGCUAAGAAUAUUCCGCAAUGGGGGAAACCCUGACGGAGCGACGCCGCGUGGAUGAUGAAAGGCCGGAAGGUUGUAAAAUCCUUUUAUGACUGAGGAAUAAGGCUGGUGAGAGAAACGCCAGUUGGUGACUGUAGGUCAUGAAUAAGCAACGGCUAAUUACGUGCCAGCAGCGGC